RNAcentral lists this ribosomal RNA (253 nucleotides) under uncultured bacterium. Its description in RNAcentral is "partial 16S ribosomal RNA". It matches the Rfam family "Bacterial small subunit ribosomal RNA", at positions 524 to 776 of the family's 1533-position model. The record is from RNAcentral.
UACAGAGGGUGCGAGCGUUAAUCGGAAUUACUGGGCGUAAAGCGCGCGUAGGCGGCUUUUCAAGUCGAUUGUGAAAUCCCCGGGCUUAACCUGGGAACUGCAGCCGAGACUGUCUAGCUAGAGUAUGGGAGAGGGAAGUGGAAUUUCAGGUGUAGCGGUGAAAUGCGUAGAUAUCUGAAGGAACAUCAGUGGCGAAAGCGACUUCCUGGACCAAUACUGACGCUCAUGUGCGAAAGCGUGGGGAGCAAACAGG